CCGCUACCCUGGGCAGAGUGUUCGAUACCCACCGCCCUCUGGUGAAGAAUUCCCUAACCCCAAACGUGACUUUCCCCUGACACAGGUACAGGGCGGUCUAGAUGAAGACAGUUGGUGUUUGUUCUGCACCAGGAGUCCAGCUGCCCCUCAGAACCCUGGGGCUUCAGUGCUCAGUGCCUCUGUUUCAUCAUCACUUCAGUGAGAAUGCUUCUCAGAAGGGCUACAAGAAGCCAAGCUCCAUUGAAUGGACCAUCCAAAAAUUGAUGUUCUAGACGUGAAGUUUGUGAUUUUUAUCUUCAACAGACAAAAGGCUUUGCAGCUCUGGGAUUUACUCACAUGCAUCCUACCUGACAUGAGAUGCUGAAAUGCAGUCACACAGUAAAGGAAUCUUCAUUCAGCAUUAAUAUGAAAGGGUAUAUCUCAACCAAAACCAAUGCAGUCUGCUUACGGCAAACCAGGUUUGGAUUUUACUUGAAGAUUUUGAAAACAUCAGCAUCUAUCAAAGAAGGUACAGAUCUCAGAUUCUCUGUUGUAAGAACACAGUGUUGUUAUGUACUGAAAAUAUAAACUCCCAAGUGAUGGAGAUUACAGUCUGGAGUCUACCAAUGCUUUUAAGCCUCUUCCAGCAAGAAAUAAAAGAAGGCAAUUGUCAAGAAUCCAAACUACUGGAUACGAUUAUAUCACCUGGAGCAUAGAGACGUGAAGUUUUGAUGAUCUCAUCACCUAUUGGUAUCCAUUUGGAGUUAUUCGCAGUAAUACCUCACCAUGACAACUUCCUUUGUUGGCAGAAAUGAAAGUUUGGAGGAAAUUUCAUUUGAAUAUUAAUUAUUUCUUAAACAAAUUCACUUAAGAAUAAGAGAUCUUGCUCAUACUGAACGGAACCAUUUGUAGUGCCUGUAGCUCUGGUGAAAACUGAGACAUUUAAGCUCUGUCUCUACUGAGAAGAGUGCUUCACAUGACAUGCCUUAAAGUCCUGUGUGUGCUAGCAUCCAGACCAAAGACCUAGCUGAAGCAUUCAGGCAUGUGUUCCUUGGAAACACAAGCAUCAAAGCGACAGGAAGAGGAAGCACCUGGUUCUUACCCUGAUAUGGAGUCAGGAUACGGUUGUAGUGCGCACCUGGCCCCAGCAAGAGGUAUGCCACUUUUGGUAUAGCUACUGUUAGAAACCUGGCAGUCUUUUUGAUGGUAGAAAUCAUAGUCCUGUACCCCAUCUCCUCAUCCCCUUUUCUGGAAUAUGACUGUAUCCUCUCCUCUGCACUAGCGCUUCCAGUCAUCUGACUGCUAACUCAAUUGCUCAGGUCACUACAUUCUAUUUUUCCUUCUGGGUAAGCUCUCUGCCACUUUUGUGAGCUGGAUGACUUGCUGACAGCAAAGAUGAGCACAGCAGGGGCAACAGAGAGAGAGGACAGAGCAGGGAGCAGGAGGAAAGAUGAAUGGAGCAGGAUUUUCCCUGUUGGCAGCUGCAAACUGCACAUCAGCUCAGCCAAAAUAUGAAACCUCACUCUCCUGCAGCUUAUCGUCUGGGCAUGCCCAGUAGAUGUGCUUCCUAGUUUUACUUACAACUACAUACCUUUAGUCUUUUCACCUUAUGUACUUUUAUAGAAUGUUGUAACACAGUCACUUUAUUUAAAUCUAAAGGUGUUUCCCCUUCCUGAGCAUGGUAGAGGCUUUGGAAAAACUUGUUCACAGAAGGGGAGGAAGAAAUAUAAAAGAGCAAGAGAAGACAUUGGCCCAUAAAGAACCAAAUUAAAGACGGUCUCCUUUUCCAACAUUUUGGAAAAAUCAGGUUUACUUAAUAAAAAAAAAUUUAAAAAAAAAAAAAAGG
Lagopus muta (rock ptarmigan) is the source of this 1825-nucleotide long non-coding RNA. RefSeq lists it as uncharacterized. The transcript has 3 exons. The record is from RefSeq and is a predicted model, not a curated record. NCBI's taxonomy places the organism in Eukaryota, Metazoa, Chordata, Aves, Galliformes, Phasianidae.